Molecule: ribosomal RNA, 470 nt
Filed under: uncultured bacterium
Lineage: Bacteria
Description: partial 16S ribosomal RNA
Rfam family: Bacterial small subunit ribosomal RNA
Source: RNAcentral
GACGAACGCUGGCGGCGUGCUUAACACAUGCAAGUCGAACGGUGAACGAGGGAGCUUGCUCCCUCCGGGUCAGUGGCGAACGGGUGAGUAACACGUGAGCAAUCUGCCCCGAACUCUGGGAUAAGCGUUGGAAACGACGUCUAAUACCGGAUACGACGCGGGAGGGCAUCCUCUCCGCGUGGAAAGAACUGCGGUUGGGGAUGGGCUCGCGGCUUAUCAGCUUGUUGGUGAGGUAACGGCUCACCAAGGCGACGACGGGUAGCCGGCCUGAGAGGGUGACCGGCCACACUGGGACUGAGACACGGCCCAGACUCCUACGGGAGGCAGCAGUGGGGAAUAUUGCACAAUGGGCGCAAGCCUGAUGCAGCAACGCCGCGUGAGGGACGACGGCCUUCGGGUUGUAAACCUCUUUUAGCAGGGACGAAGCGAAAGUGACGGUACCUGCAGAAGAAGCACCGGCUAACUACGUG